AGCGAGGUUUCUAGGCAUGAUCAUGGUUGAGUUUGGCCAUCUAGAAAGCAUUGUCGGUCCCUAUUUAUGUAAGUUGUUUGAAUGUCGCUAGCUUUCCUAAUUUCUUACUUAGCUCGUAAUUUUUAUACUAUAGCAGCUUUUCCAAAGAGUCUUCCUAAAGCUGUGUAGAUAUUUUUGGCAAGAACAUCUUGAACAAAUUUUGCAAAGUUAGUUAUCAGCCAUUCAGCCGGACCAAGCAGACCAUCAUACUUAUUUUUUUAGAACUUCACCCUUUAUUAAACUGAAUAAGAGUUACAAACCCAUCGCAUAUCUUCCUAAAGAACAUAAAAUUGUACUUCUAGCUAUUCUAUGUACAUCAACAUUGGACUACCUAUCUUUUGGAUGAACUCAACCCUUCCGAAGCAUCCUCUUCUAAAGUUAAUCUCGACCAUAUGGUCCCAU
Molecule: long non-coding RNA, 441 nt
Filed under: Setaria viridis
Lineage: Eukaryota; Viridiplantae; Streptophyta; Magnoliopsida; Poales; Poaceae
Description: long non-coding RNA (SVIR_LNC002471)
Source: RNAcentral